GCCCUCAUCGUCUAGAGGCUCAGGACAUCUCUAUUUCAAGGAGAAAACGGGGAUUCGAAUCCCCCUGAGGGUU
RNAcentral lists this transfer RNA (73 nucleotides) under Gastrodia javanica. RNAcentral's name for it is "tRNA-Glu". It matches the Rfam family "tRNA". From Rfam's summary of the family: Transfer RNA (tRNA) molecules are approximately 80 nucleotides in length. Lineage: Eukaryota; Viridiplantae; Streptophyta; Magnoliopsida; Asparagales; Orchidaceae. The record is from RNAcentral.